Myotis davidii is the source of this 722-nucleotide long non-coding RNA. RefSeq lists it as uncharacterized. The transcript is spliced from 3 exons. NCBI's taxonomy places the organism in Eukaryota, Metazoa, Chordata, Mammalia, Chiroptera, Vespertilionidae. The record is from RefSeq and is a predicted model, not a curated record.
ACAAGAUCCUGCCACUGACUGGACCAGGGAUUGGAACCUAUUAUGAAAAGCGCCAUCUAUAUGCUAAGCACAAGAUCAGCAGCCUCUGAAGAAACCUGAUUCAGAUAAAACCAAGAGCUUCCUCACACUCCUUCCCUGUUGAAAUGUGUAACUCCAAAGAACUUGGAAAUGUUAGCAUUCCGAUUUUGCUUGUCUUGUUAGAGGCUUGCACUAGCAACUGCUGAAAACCCACAAACAUGGACAAAUUGCUUUUAAUUCCAACCUUGGAUGAACUGAUUCAAAUAGGAUGGAUUAAUCUAUUCCACACUCUCUGCUGCUGCUAAUGAAGAAGACUAAAGAGCAACUUAAAUACCUCUCACCUUUUCUUUUGUAUUGUUGUUGGGCUUGGGAUGCUCCAGACCAAGCUACUCUAUGAGGUUGUGACACUUCCCUUAACACAAGCCUCCACUUAACAACCAGGGGAAACCUUUCCCCUAGAUAGCUGAAUAGGUUACCAUCAGUUUCCUCAGUUGCAUGAGCUCCACCUCAGUUGAUAAACAGGAAUAUUUAUAAAGAAAAAUAGAGAAAUAAAGGAAAAGUAAGCAAACAUUAUCUAUUGUGCAACAAGCAAAUCUCAGAAUCAUAGCAUUCCAUGAUACCUCAUAGCCCGUGACAAUAGAAUAAUUAUUCCCCAGUGUCAAUGGCAGGUUAUUUUUAUUCCGGGACCUUACUUGGCCUGAACC